Long non-coding RNA from Cyprinus carpio (common carp), 1209 nucleotides. The record is from Ensembl. Lineage: Eukaryota; Metazoa; Chordata; Actinopteri; Cypriniformes; Cyprinidae.
CGGAAGUCUUUUAUCGACUUAACGUGAUGCACGUAUAAAUUCUCCUCCCCCUUCACAUCUGCUCCAAGUGCUAACCAUGGCAGAAAAUUCAAACACACAUAAAUGUGAGUGUUAAGCAUGAAUGUGGGUUAUUUUUUGACAGUGCCUUUAAUUUCGAUGUAUAAUGUGUACUUUUCAGCCCAGUUUUAAUUAUGUUUAUUACGUUUCUUGAUUUUACUGGCUUAUUGUUUUUAAUUGUUUAAUUAGUGCCUCUUAUAUUGAUAAAUGGGGAAUAGAGAAUGUUUUAAUUUAGGCCUGUAGUUAAUUCAUGUGUUGAGUAUUUGUAGUUUAUGCCUGCAUUGGUUAAUAUGCAACACAUUAACAUUUCGAACUGCUUCACUGUAGUGUAAAAUUAUUUCUUACAAGGACUGAUAAGGAGAACGAAAACUUAAUUAAAUUCCGUAUGGAGCUUGAUUCUGACUUCACUGGGAAGAGGAACAGUGCCAAAAAAGCCUGGAUACCCUGGCUUGUCACCAUCCGCAUCUGUGGAGGAAAGGGAGGAGGAGGACACAACAUCCUAUGCACCAUCUGGCAGAGACAACUUCCAGGAGGAAAGGCCCUGUACUUCUUCGGGUCCCCCGCCACCUAAAAAGAAAAGAUCCAACAGAGUGCUAGAUUUUCUAGAGAAGGAGGCUGAAAAAGAGGAAGAACGUCUACAGGCCGCGCACAAAUUAAUGGAAUCUACUUCAAAUAGGUUCCUUGACCUCUUUGAACAGUUGAUUAAAAAAAGUUGAACACUAUCUCUGUUUGUUGUUUUUGCUUUGAGAAUUUUUUUGUGCCAUUAUAUGCCAUAAUAGAUGUUUUAUGGUAAACACAGUUGCCAGAUGAGUACAAAACAAAAAUAUUGGCUUAAUUGGAAAACAUGUUUAUUUACAUUAAACUAUUUUAUCUAUUGAUAAUGUGGAUAUUGCAAAUAAUUUAAUGCAUGAGUUUAGAGACAUGGGGAACUUUUUUUUAUUUUUAAUAAUCUGAACUUAAACAUUGUGUGUAGCAAUAUCUUUGUCUUUCUACAAAUAAUCAUGCUCAUUUAACUCCACUGGAUACACCUGAGGAGCUGACAGUUUUUCUGCCAGUUUAUCACACCAGGCAUUCCCACCACAGACCCCUCUCACUGGACAGGGUGGAGGUAAACCAACAUCAUCCACAACUUCAGGGCCUUCAAUUAUGUCU